RNAcentral lists this ribosomal RNA (486 nucleotides) under uncultured bacterium. RNAcentral's name for it is "bacterial SSU rRNA". It matches the Rfam family "Bacterial small subunit ribosomal RNA", at positions 29 to 524 of the family's 1533-position model. The record is from RNAcentral.
AUUGAACGCUGGCGGAAUGCUUUACACAUGCAAGUCGAACGGCAGCACGGGUGCUUGCACCUGGUGGCGAGUGGCGAACGGGUGAGUAAUGCACCGGAACGUAUCCAAUAAUGGGGGAUAACGCACCGAAAGGUGUGCUAAUACCGCAUACGCCCUGAGGGGGAAAGCGGGGGAUCGUAAGACCUCGCGUUAAUGGAGCGGCCGAUGCCGGAUUAGCUAGUUGGUGAGGUAAAGGCUCACCAAGGCGACGAUCCGUAGCUGGUCUGAGAGGACGACCAGCCACACUGGAACUGAGACACGGUCCAGACUCCUACGGGAGGCAGCAGUGGGGAAUUUUGGACAAUGGGCGCAAGCCUGAUCCAGCCAUUCCGCGUGAGUGAAGAAGGCCUUCGGGUUGUAAAGCUCUGUCGGGGGGGGAGAAAAGGGCAACCUUGAUCGACCCCCGGAGGAAGCACGGGCUAAGUUCGUGCCAGCAGCCGCGGUAAU